AAAGGACCAAACAGAAGGCAAGAACAGCGGUUAUUUCAACAUCCACAAUUAUGCAGAACUGACUUCUAAUAUAUCACUGACAUAGGAAAGUUCCACCGAGAUCGAAAGGGAAGAGUGAGAUUGAAUCGAAAAUUGACAUAAUAGAGAGCAUAGUAGCAGAACUGGAAAUCACUGACAUAAUUCCACCGGGAUCAAAAUCGACGAUGCACUCAUCAUGUAGUUCGAAAAGCCAAACCUGGUUGUUGAUUGUUGUGCUACUGAUUUGUUGUUUCUGUUUUCCGACGUAGAACCAAGAAGCGAAAGGCCUUAUGGUCGAAACGUCGUAAACAGA
This 331-nucleotide long non-coding RNA is filed under the name Trifolium pratense (red clover). Its description in RNAcentral is "long non-coding RNA (TPRA_LNC010383)". Lineage: Eukaryota; Viridiplantae; Streptophyta; Magnoliopsida; Fabales; Fabaceae. The record is from RNAcentral.